CGUGCACCAGUGGGGUCCCUCAGCCUGGCCUGCACCCUCGCGCAAUCUGGGACCCCUCAGGGGAUGUCAGAGAGCUGGUUUUGGCCCGAUCCCGCAGGCUAGGCUGAGGGACCCCACUGGUGCAGG
This 126-nucleotide microRNA precursor is filed under the name Myotis lucifugus (little brown bat). RNAcentral's name for it is "mir-9193 microRNA precursor family". It matches the Rfam family "mir-9193 microRNA precursor family". Lineage: Eukaryota; Metazoa; Chordata; Mammalia; Chiroptera; Vespertilionidae. The record is from Rfam by way of RNAcentral.